CUCCCAUCUUGAAUUUAACGUGUGAGCGUCCAUGAUCAUAUAAUAUUAUUAUUAACAACAUCUAGUAAAACGUACAAUUUACUAUUAAUUAUGUAUCAACAGUUAAAUAAGUAUUUUAUAUGCUUUAUAAAAAUAAAGUAUACACAUAGUGAGUAUACCAACGUAUACUUCUAUGAAUUAGACUACUAAGAACUUAUCUGAAUAUAACAUUCGACAUCAAAAAAUAACGUUUACAACGUGUAAAUCGACUUAAAAAAAGAUUCACGAUAUAACAUUUCUAUUAUAUUCUACUUAUUUUAUCUGAACGUUUUAUACGUUUAUAUUUUUUAUAUUUCACUCGAAUAUUAUUAAUAUUAUCGCUAUUAUCAGUUUUUCUAGUAAUUAAAAUAUAUAAUAAUGUACGAUUACGAGCUAAAAUUAGAACUAUAAGACCUUUAUUUUUUUUUUUUGCUCUUUCCGGAUUAUAAGAGGAUGCUCGUUUGAUUGGCGAUUGGAUAUAAUCGGAGUUUUAUAACACUACUGGUAUAUAUUCAUGUAUUCAUAUUAAUUACUCAAGUAUUGAAAUACUGCGUCAUUAUAUGUAGAUGAAUUACAACACGAGAGGUAUCACAAGGUUAUUGGAAUGUACUCGAUAUUUAAAUUUUGGGUUAAUAUCUAGGAUAUUACUGGGUAUUACUAUAAAUACCCGACAUUUUGGAUAUUUGUUUUAAAUCAUUCAUUAGAUUCUGAACGAAGAUAGGAAUGUAUUUAUUUUGCUAUGUUGUGUUUAUAUAUAUUUUUCUGUAUGUCUAAAGAACUAUUUUUGAUUUAGUUGGCACAUGGAGGAGGCCAUUUUUUUAAAUUCAAAAGCUAAAAAACUGGAAAUUUGUAUUGACUUCUUGGUGGCUUUGACAACAAAGGAAAAAAUAAGAUUAAAAAUACUCUCCUCAGAAUCGUUUGUCGUUAGUAAUAGUUUAUCGUUGUAUACAUACGAGCUUAUAAAUUAAAUUACUCUACACAUCCUUUCUAAACAAUAGCACACCUGUCAGCAGUAUUAAUCUUUUUAAAUUUGUAUUAUGGAGUAUUCCAAUGGAUAUGAGGAUUUAUUCCGAGAAAAAAACAAAUGAUUGUUAAAAUUAUUUCACUAUUUUAAUAAAAAUAAGGCAUAAAAAUCUCAUAAGACAUAGCAGGAAGACUUCUCUAUCUACUUCUCUUCUCUGUCUACUUUAGUAGAUAACAACGCCGGUGUAUUAAUUGUAUUAAUUUAUUUUAAUUAAGUCUAUAAUACGUAUAAUGUACAAAGUAGGUACUAACACAUUAACUUUUAGUCAUUGUUAACCAUCAUUAAAAAUACCACUAAUAUCUGAAGCCCGGAUUUAAAUGUAUUUAAAACUUACAAAUAGUGUUUAGAAAUAGCAAAAAAAAGCUAUUAAAAAGUAUUAAAUUAAAUUUUCACUAAACAAAUGAUUUUUAAAAAUGAAAUUGUAUAAUAUAUACGAUUGUACACGUUAGUGUUAAAAUAUUUUAUCUAAUAAUUUAAAGCCAUUAUUGGAGAGGCAUCUAAACCAGUCUAUAAUAUUUGCUUUUUUAAAGAUAUUUAAGGUCAUUUUUGCUAUUUUUAUGCGCAUUUUUGUGGAUUUUAAAUGCAUUUAAAUCCGGGCCCUACUAAUAACUAAUACCUUUUGUAAUAAAAACCAUACGUUGACUAUAGAAUUAAUUAUGCUUAAAGAUAUCCUGUCAAAAUGACCCGACAAAUGUUGCGGUAAAAAAUGUCACAUGCGUAAAAAUGUCAUCAAU
Molecule: non-coding RNA, 1776 nt
Organism: Cinara cedri
Lineage: Eukaryota; Metazoa; Arthropoda; Insecta; Hemiptera; Aphididae
Source: the annotation of a GenBank genome assembly